AACGAACGCUGGCGGCAUGCCUAACACAUGCAAGUCGAACGAGACCUUCGGGUCUAGUGGCGCACGGGUGCGUAAUGCGUGGGAACCUGCCCUUAGGUUCGGAAUAACUCAGAGAAAUUUGAGCUAAUACCGGAUAAUGUCUUCGGACCAAAGAUUUAUCGCCUUUGGAUGGGCCCGCGUAGGAUUAGCUUGUUGGUGGGGUAAUGGCCUACCAAGGCGACGAUCCUUAGCUGGUCUGAGAGGAUGAUCAGCCACACUGGGACUGAGACACGGCCCAGACUCCUACGGGAGGCAGCAGUGGGGAAUAUUGGACAAUGGGCGAAAGCCUGAUCCAGCAAUGCCGCGUGAGUGAUGAAGGCCUUAGGGUUGUAAAGCUCUUUUACCAGGGAUGAUAAUGACAGUACCUGGAGAAUAAGCUCCGGCUAACUCCGUG
Molecule: ribosomal RNA, 433 nt
Filed under: uncultured bacterium
Lineage: Bacteria
Description: partial 16S ribosomal RNA
Rfam family: Bacterial small subunit ribosomal RNA
Source: RNAcentral